CGACUCCAUGAAGCUGGAUUCGCUAGUAAUCGCGCAUCAGCCACGGCGCGGUGAAUACGUUCCCGGGCCUUGUACACACCGCCCGUCAAGCCAUGGGAGCCGGGGGUACCUGAAGUGCGUGACCGCAAGGAGCGCCCUAAGGUAAAACCGGUGACUGGGGCUAAGUCGUAACAAGGUACC
Molecule: ribosomal RNA, 180 nt
Filed under: uncultured bacterium
Lineage: Bacteria
Description: partial 16S ribosomal RNA
Rfam family: Bacterial small subunit ribosomal RNA
Source: RNAcentral